This 169-nucleotide ribosomal RNA is filed under the name Salmonella enterica subsp. enterica serovar Heidelberg. RNAcentral's name for it is "partial 23S ribosomal RNA". It matches the Rfam family "Bacterial large subunit ribosomal RNA", at positions 1 to 161 of the family's 2925-position model. RNAcentral also lists the same sequence under 2 other names. The record is from RNAcentral. Lineage: Bacteria; Pseudomonadati; Pseudomonadota; Gammaproteobacteria; Enterobacterales; Enterobacteriaceae.
GGGUUGUGAGGUUAAGCGACUAAGCGUACACGGUGGAUGCCCUGGCAGUCAGAGGCGAUGAAGGGCGUGCUAAUCUGCGAUAAGCGCCGGUAAGGUGAUAUGAACCGUUAUAACCGGCGAUACCCGAAUGGGGAAACCCAGUGUGACUCGUCACACUAUCAUUAACUGA